GGAAUAAUUGUCAUAGGUAAGACUAAGCAAUUGCUAAUUGUUAGGGUUAACAGCUCUUGGACGUUCGACUCGUUCUUAUUCCG
This 83-nucleotide transfer RNA is filed under the name Coprinus comatus. RNAcentral's name for it is "tRNA-Ser". The record is from RNAcentral. Lineage: Eukaryota; Fungi; Basidiomycota; Agaricomycetes; Agaricales; Agaricaceae.